RNAcentral lists this ribosomal RNA (253 nucleotides) under uncultured bacterium. Its description in RNAcentral is "partial 16S ribosomal RNA". It matches the Rfam family "Bacterial small subunit ribosomal RNA", at positions 524 to 776 of the family's 1533-position model. The record is from RNAcentral.
UACAGAGAUCCCGAGCGUUGUUCGGAUUCACUGGGCGUAAAGGGUGCGUAGGUGGUCGGGUAAGUUUGAUGUGAAAUCUCUGAGCUCAACUCAGAAACUGCAUUGAAUACUAUCCGGCUUGAGAAUCGGAGGGGGGACUGGAAUACUUGGUGUAGCAGUGAAAUGCGUAGAUAUCAAGUGGAACACCAGUGGCGAAGGCGAGUCCCUGGACGAUUUCUGACACUGAGGCACGAAAGCUAGGGGAGCAAACAGG